GAUGAAGAACGUAGCGAAAUGCGAUAAGUAGUGUGAAUUGCAGAAUUCCGUGAAUCAUCGAAUCUUUGAACGCACAUUGCGCCUUCUGGUAUUCCGGAAGGCAUGCCUGUUCGAGAGUCAUUAACAACCGUUUCGAUCCCUUUCUUUCAGAAAUUACAAAGAGGAAAAGGGUUUGGUUAUGGUGGAGGAGGGAAAGGGAGCGUUUAGCCUGUAAAAAAAGAGGCUGUGUUCCGCCUCCCCCCCAAAAUUGUACAGGCGGUCGUGUGCGCCCACGCAUCGAGGUGUUGUAAAAGCUGCCACGGCACUUUUCACCUGUGCAGUGCGAGAUUGGCCAGCCGGUUUAAAAACCCCUCCAAACAAUCAAUGGUUGACCUCGGAUCAGGUAGGGAUACCCGCUGAACUUAAGCAUAUCAAUAAGCGGAGGA
RNAcentral lists this unclassified non-coding RNA (425 nucleotides) under soil metagenome. Its description in RNAcentral is "partial contains 5.8S ribosomal RNA, internal transcribed spacer 2, and large subunit ribosomal RNA". The stretch from base 1 to 120 matches the Rfam family "5.8S ribosomal RNA", at positions 35 to 154 of the family's 154-position model. The record is from RNAcentral.